GCUGGAUGUGGUGGCAUGUGCCUGUAGUCCCAGCUACUCGGGAGGCUGAGGCUGAGGAUCUCUUGAGUCCAGGAGUUCUGGGCUGUAGUGCACUAUGCUGAUCGGGUGUCCGCACUAAGUUUGGCAUCAAUAUGGUGGCCUCCCGGGAGCAGGGGACCACCAGGUUGCCUAAGGAGGGGUGAACUGGGCCAGGUUGGAAAUGGAGCAGGUCAGAACUCCCAUGCUGAUCAGUAGUGAGAUCGUGCCUGUGAAUAGCCACUGCACUCCAGCCUGGGCAACAUAGCUAGACCUGUCUCUA
Molecule: signal recognition particle RNA, 298 nt
Filed under: Cebus imitator (Panamanian white-faced capuchin)
Lineage: Eukaryota; Metazoa; Chordata; Mammalia; Primates; Cebidae
Description: Metazoan signal recognition particle RNA (ENSCCAG00000004361.1)
Rfam family: Metazoan signal recognition particle RNA
About the family: The signal recognition particle (SRP) is a universally conserved ribonucleoprotein.
Source: RNAcentral